UAUAACCAGGUGGCUUCUGCAAAGGUUUUCUCAUAGACAUUCUUCGAAAUUCCUCGCUUUAUUUCUCUCUGUUUCUGCAUGUGGAUUCAAAUUUGAUAUUGAUCACCAUGUUUUCAGGUAUAAAACGUCGAAAACAUAGUUAAGUAAAUAAAAAUAUAUUUUUUUAGGUUAUCAUACUCUUUAACAUGAUAUCAGUGUAGGCGGAGAUAUUUGAUUGGAAUCUCACUUUUAUUUAGCAUUAAAAAAGAAUUUUUACGUGUUUGACUUAUGAAAAAAAAAAACAAGCUAACGCGUAAAGCUUGCCACAUGAUAUAAAAAUAAAUGAGACGUGAGGGGACGUAUUGAAAACUUAAUUAAGAAAAUAAAAGUCAUGUGGUUAUUUUAGCGACUUAAGUUUUCAAAUGAAAUGGUCAGAUUUUCCAAUAUAGAUGAAAAUUUGUAUAUACUAGCUUCAAAUAUGCAUGAUAUGAAAUUGUUAUAGAAUGAAGAAGCAUUUCUUUUGUUGAAUUAUGUUUUCAGCAGGGGGCGGAGCUAGCAUAGCAUUUGGGGGUUCGGCUGAACCCAAUUAUUUUAGUCCAAAACUUAUAUUUGUCUUAAAAAAUUCAUUGAAUAUGUAUAAAUUGUUAAUUUAAAACCCAAUAACAUAAUGGGAUGCAGUUAGAAUUGUUGAAAGAAAGAAAUUUUUCAAAGAAUGCAAAUAACAUUGUGUAUCAAACCAAAGAAAUUAAAGAUGAAAAUGUGGGGUUAAAACAAACAUAAAAAUGAAUCAGAGAUAAAACCUGGGAGCACUUGAUUUCAUUGUUGCAUUUUAUUUGGAUAUGAUAUCAUGUGUAAAGGUUGAACCUUUAUAUAAAUUUGAGAGAUCAAAUAUGAAUCUUGAGGUGGCAAUAAUAAUUGAAGAAACCACAAAAAAAAAGAAUAAACUUGGGUUUUGGAGAAGAGAUUUUUUUUAAAAAAAAAUUUUCCUUUUUCUUUUGUAGGAUAUUUCUGCUGAGGUAAAAUGAGGAAAUGGAGGAAAAAGGUUUCUGGUAAUGACCAAGACAGGAACCAGAUAAUUUGUUGGGGAUUAAGAUUAAAUAGCCGAGAUUUACGCGCAAAGGUUUCGACUAGAUUAAAGACAAAUUAAGAAACUUAAAUUAUCCCCAAAGUCUUAUGUUUAUUCUUUUUUCUCGGCCAAACUUUUAUUUUGCUAGUCUCUCACCUCGGGUAUAUUUAGUCAUGUAAUACACAAUUUUGUAAAAUACUAUCAAUAUUGUUAGAACAAAAUUUUGAGUAAAUAAUUAUAUACGAAAGAGCAAACAUACGAAUUUUUAUGAAUGAUUAAUAUUGUGGUGAUUUGUUGUCGAGGUACAAGGAUAGCCCAAUACGCAAAGCAUUUUAUAUUCACGCAGGGUGGGGGAAGGCACUCCAAAGGGGUAUGAUAUAGACAGCUUAGCCUAAUGCAAGCAUUAAUGCUGGUUCCACGAUUCGAAUCAGAAGCAUCGAAUGAAAGAUUUUUUCCAAGACCAUUUGGAUGGGUCAUAACUUAUACAUAGGACAGUCUCUGUAAGAAGGACCUGUUUACUAUAGUCAGUGCGUAAGAUUUGUAGAAUUAAUUAUGCCUUUCUGCCUAUCGUUGUAGAAGUUGUUCCUAGAAAGAUUAUGGGUCUG
Molecule: long non-coding RNA, 1650 nt
Filed under: Nicotiana tabacum (common tobacco)
Lineage: Eukaryota; Viridiplantae; Streptophyta; Magnoliopsida; Solanales; Solanaceae
Description: long non-coding RNA (NTAB_LNC002415)
Source: RNAcentral